Molecule: long non-coding RNA, 536 nt
Filed under: Androctonus crassicauda
Lineage: Eukaryota; Metazoa; Arthropoda; Arachnida; Scorpiones; Buthidae
Source: RNAcentral
GUUCAUUCUUCUGCUUAUAGCGAUAGAGGUCAUUGUAAUCUAGCAGCCCUUUCACCCUCAGAUUCUUCUUUUUUCAUGGCGGCUGAGCGCAUCGCUUUUAAUCUAGUGUUCCUUUUUUCAUUUCGUCAUAUUUGAGUUUUUUCUAAACUUUCAGAAGACCCUUCGCUUUCUAGAAUUAUCAUUUUUUUUUGUUUUGCUCUCUGAAUUUUCUUCGUAUCUCGUGCCAGGGGUCGUUUUGUUCGAAAUGCGAUUGCCUUUUGGAACAAAACGUCCCCUGGCGGGAAAAGUUUGCGGUCUCUGUUCUCCCAAAAAAAAUUGUCUCAGGGCAUGCGAAUUUCGGAUUUUUCAUGUCAAGGCGAUAACAUUACACGAUUAUGUACAAAAUUUAAACAUAACACAUCACAUUUGAACGAUUUCAAAACACACACACACACACACACACACACACCUACCCUGCUCUAUGAUGGUAGACUACAAAUCGGGUUUCCAUUUAAAUUAAGUUAUAAUUAUACUUUCAUUAAAUAUAUAUAUUGUUG